UACGGAGGGUGCGAGCGUUAAUCGGAAUCACUGGGCGUAAAGCGCGCGUAGGCGGCUUUUCAGGUCAGGGGUGAAAUCCCACGGCCCAACCGUGGAACUGCCUUUGAAACUGUAGAGCUUGAGUGUCGGAGGGGCAGGCGGAAUUCCUAGUGUAGCGGUGAAAUGCGUAGAUAUUAGGAGGAACACCGGUGGCGAAGGCGGCCUGCUGGACUGUGACUGACGCUGAGGCUCGAAAGCGUGGGGAGCAAACAGG
RNAcentral lists this ribosomal RNA (253 nucleotides) under uncultured bacterium. RNAcentral describes it as "partial 16S ribosomal RNA". It matches the Rfam family "Bacterial small subunit ribosomal RNA", at positions 524 to 776 of the family's 1533-position model. The record is from RNAcentral.